AUUGAACGCUGGCGGCAGGCCUAACACAUGCAAGUCGAGCGGUAGAGAGGUGCUUGCAUCUCUUGAGAGCGGCGGACGGGUGAGUAAUGCCUAGGAAUCUGCCUGGUGGUGGGGGAUAACGUUCGGAAACGGACGCUAAUACCGCAUACGUCCUACGGGAGAAAGCGGGGGGAUCUUCGGACCUCGCGCCAUUAGAUGAGCCUAGGUCGGAUUAGCUAGUUGGUGAGGUAAUGGCUCACCAAGGCGACGAUCCGUAACUGGUCUGAGAGGAUGAUCAGUCACACUGGAACUGAGACACGGUCCAGACUCCUACGGAGGCAGCAGUGGGGAAUAUUGGACAAUGGGCGAAAGCCUGAUCCAGCCAUGCCGCGUGUGUGAAGAAGGUCUUCGGAUUGUAAAGCACUUAAGUUGGGAGGAAGGGUAGUAACCUAAUACGUUGCUACUUUGACGUUACGACAGAAUAAGCA
Molecule: ribosomal RNA, 467 nt
Filed under: uncultured bacterium
Lineage: Bacteria
Description: bacterial SSU rRNA
Rfam family: Bacterial small subunit ribosomal RNA
Source: RNAcentral